RNAcentral lists this long non-coding RNA (287 nucleotides) under Zea mays. RNAcentral's name for it is "drought responsive lncRNA". Lineage: Eukaryota; Viridiplantae; Streptophyta; Magnoliopsida; Poales; Poaceae. The record is from RNAcentral.
UCCAGGAGUGACGCGUGAGUGAUUACAAGUCAGCGUGAACAGUACGGGGUUACUGUUCAUCUAUUUAUAGGCACCAGACACAGCCCGAAAAAAAUUACAUUCGUGUCCUUGAUAACUAAUCAUAACCAUAAUACAAAUUAUCAGGGACUAUGUGGUCUUUUCCUCUUUAAGUCGGUGCCAUCCUUCGUCUUAAGCAUGUCAUCAUGCAGAAGCUCUUUCAAUUGUAGCUUCGGCAUAUAUCUUCAUGUCGUAUCUGCUUGUGUAUCGUCUUGUCGAAGGUGUUUUUG